Molecule: transfer RNA, 66 nt
Filed under: Dendrochiton gothicus
Lineage: Eukaryota; Metazoa; Mollusca; Polyplacophora; Chitonida; Mopaliidae
Description: tRNA-Ala
Source: RNAcentral
GGAAUAAUACUUUAAAAAAAAGGUUUGAUUUGCAUUUAAAAAAUAGGAUAUAUAUCCUUUGUUCCA